GGCAGCGCUGUCAGAGGGAAGUCAGCGCUGGGACGGAGGCCGAGGGAGGCGGAUCAGUGAAGACUGGCUCCCUUUCCAGGACUUUCGGGACCCCCCCGUGUGGAGGAGACGCAGCGGGCUGGGUGUGGCCCCCUCCUCCCCGUGGUCCUGCUCCCCUGCGCCCAUCCGGGCUGACACCCUCUCUGGCCAGGCUGUCCCUCGGGUCUCAGAGGCAGAGAGGCAGAAGCAGAGGUCGCUGGGAAUGUGCCCCGUGCGGCCCCGUGGCUGCCCCCCAGGCUCGCCCGCAACCCCCAGUGUCCCCGAGGACUCGGCUCCCG
Lutra lutra (Eurasian river otter) is the source of this 317-nucleotide long non-coding RNA. RefSeq lists it as uncharacterized. The record is from RefSeq and is a predicted model, not a curated record. Lineage: Eukaryota; Metazoa; Chordata; Mammalia; Carnivora; Mustelidae. The transcript is spliced from 3 exons.